AACGAACGCUGGCGGCAUGCCUAACACAUGCAAGUCGAGCGAACCCUUCAGGUCUAUUGUCGCCCGGGUGCAUAACGCGUGGGAACCUUCCCUUAUGUUCGAACUACCUCCCCGAAUGGGAUGCUAAUACCGAAUAAUGUCUUCUAACCAAAGAUUUAUCGCCUUUGGUUGUGCCCGCGUUGCAUUAGCUCGUUGGUAAGGUAACAGCUUACCAAGGCAACGAUGCGUAGCCGACCUGAGAGGGUGAUCAGCCACACUGGGACUGAGACACGGUCCAGACUCCUACGGGAGGCAGCAGUAGGGAAUCUUCCGCAAUGGGCGAAAGCCUGACGGAGCAACGCCGCGUGAGUGAUGAAGGUCUUCGGAUCGUAAAACUCUGUUAUUAGGGAAGAACAAAUGUGUAAGUAACUAUGCACGUCUUGACGGUACCUAAUCAGAAAGCCACGGCUAACUACGUG
This 458-nucleotide ribosomal RNA is filed under the name uncultured bacterium. Its description in RNAcentral is "partial 16S ribosomal RNA". It matches the Rfam family "Bacterial small subunit ribosomal RNA", at positions 29 to 507 of the family's 1533-position model. The record is from RNAcentral.